This 1181-nucleotide long non-coding RNA is filed under the name Rattus norvegicus (Norway rat). Its description in RNAcentral is "long non-coding RNA NONRATT029085". The record is from RNAcentral. Lineage: Eukaryota; Metazoa; Chordata; Mammalia; Rodentia; Muridae.
GACUGUGGGGCCUUCACCCAUUCUAGCAUGGCCCCUCAGCCAGGACUUUAGCAUUCACUGGAUCAGGCGCUGCUGCCCUACCUCUGAGAAAUGGAGCAGGUGGAGUGGGAAGAAACUGCAGGCUUUGUUGCAGGACACAGACAAGAGGAGACUCAUCCCUACAGCGUCCCUCAACAUUUGCCUACAUCUACAGAGCCAUUCAAAGCUCCAAGAAAAGACCCUGGCCAUGAGGGCAGCUUACUUUCUCCUCUGACCCUGCAAGCAUGUAGUUUCUAACCGCAGGAACGUUUUUGUGCAUUCACUGACUCGGGUCUCCUUUAUAGGCUGACAUUGAGAGAUGCAGUUCUGUAACUUGCUUUUUAAAGAAAAAAAGCACACUGGGUUUCAAAUAGCUCUCUGUCCCUGUGCUGACCAUAGUAACCAUUUCAGAAGUCUCUCCCAGAUGGCGGCCCCAUUGAGGAAGCUGUGGCCUGUUGCUCACUGCAGCAUGUCUGGUAUCUCCUUGGCAGUCUGCUUGUUUGUGUCAAGGAUGACAGACUGAGUCAUGUUCCCCCAACAGACAUGUCCAACCUUUUGUCAUUGCGACACAACGCUGUCGUCUACAAAGGUCACAACUGAGAACCUCAAAAUUGAGUUACCAAAGUGGAGGCCUGGUGAGAUGGCUCAGUGGUUAAGAGCACUGGCUGCUCUUCUGAAGGUCUGGGGUUGAAUUCCCAGCAACCACAUGGGGGCUCACAAUGGUCUAUAACGCCAGUUCCAGCUAACCCAACACCCUCUUCUAAUUUCUGAGGACACCGGACAUGUGCACUGUGAGCAGAUGUGCAAGCAGGAAAACACCCAUACAUAUAAAAUAAGUAAAAGAAAAAAAUGGUUCUUCAAGAUAGGUUCUCUCUAUGUAGCCUUGGCUGUCCUGAAACUAUGCAGACCAGGCUAGCCUAGAACUCAAAGAAUUCUACCUGCCUCUGCCUCCAGAGUACUGAGAUCAAAGGUGUGCAUCACCAUGGCAGGCUUAGUAAAUACAUUUUUUUAUUUUCAAAAGUAUCAUAUGAUGUUUUAAGUAAGUGUAGCUUUGGAGUUGGUCUGUAUUUACCGCUGUCCUGGGUCACAUGGUUAAACUUGUCUAUUUCACUUGUAAUUCUGUCAAUAAACUCUGGGUUUCCCUCCAGCUUUUAGCAAAUCAA